Molecule: ribosomal RNA, 403 nt
Filed under: Verrucomicrobiota bacterium
Lineage: Bacteria; Pseudomonadati; Verrucomicrobiota
Description: Verrucomicrobia bacterium partial 16S ribosomal RNA
Rfam family: Bacterial small subunit ribosomal RNA
Source: RNAcentral
UGGGGAAUAUUGCACAAUGGGGGAAACCCUGAUGCAGCGACGCCGCGUGAGCGAAGAAGGUUUUCGAAUCGUAAAGCUCUGUCCUAUGAGAAGAUAAUGACGGUAUCAUAGGAGGAAGCCCCGGCUAAAUACGUGCCAGCAGCCGCGGUAAUACGUAUGGGGCGAGCGUUGUCCGGAAUCAUUGGGCGUAAAGGGUACGUAGGCGGCCCAGUAAGUUAGAAGUGAAAUAAUAUAGCUCAACUAUAUAAAGCUUUUAAAACUGCUAGGCUUGAGAGAUGGAAGGGAAAGUGGAAUUCCUAGUGUAGCGGUGAAAUGCGCAGAUAUUAGGAAGAAUACCGGUGGCGAAGGCGACUUUCUGGUCAUCAUCUGACGCUGAGGUACGAAAGCGUGGGUAGCAAACAGG